Molecule: ribosomal RNA, 465 nt
Filed under: Vreelandella stevensii
Lineage: Bacteria; Pseudomonadati; Pseudomonadota; Gammaproteobacteria; Oceanospirillales; Halomonadaceae
Description: partial 16S ribosomal RNA
Rfam family: Bacterial small subunit ribosomal RNA
Source: RNAcentral
CCUACGGGUGGCUGCAGUGGGGAAUAUUGGACAAUGGGGGGAACCCUGAUCCAGCCAUGCCGCGUGUGUGAAGAAGGCCCUCGGGUUGUAAAGCACUUUCAGUGAGGAAGAACGCCUGGUGGUUAAUACCCAUCAGGAAAGACAUCACUCACAGAAGAAGCACCGGCUAACUCCGUGCCAGCAGCCGCGGUAAUACGGAGGGUGCGAGCGUUAAUCGGAAUUACUGGGCGUAAAGCGCGCGUAGGUGGCUUGAUAAGCCGGUUGUGAAAGCCCCGGGCUCAACCUGGGAACGGCAUCCGGAACUGUCAAGUUAGAGUGCAGGAGAGGAAGGUAGGAUUCCCGGUGUAGCGGUGAAAUGCGGCGAGAGCCGGAGGAAUACCAGUGGUGAAGGCGGCCUUCUGGACUGACACUGACACUGAGGUGCGAAAGCGUGGGUAGCAAACAGGAUUAGAUACCCUUGUAGUA